Molecule: long non-coding RNA, 4068 nt
Filed under: Salmo salar (Atlantic salmon)
Lineage: Eukaryota; Metazoa; Chordata; Actinopteri; Salmoniformes; Salmonidae
Description: lncRNA (ENSSSAG00000097647.1)
Source: RNAcentral
GUCAUAUUGCAUUCCUAAGGCUUCCACUAGAUGUCAACAGUCAUUAGAACCUCGUUUGAGGCUUCUAGAAUACAAUUUGAUAUAAUAAUACCCGGAACAGUAUGUGGUCGACCUGGUGUCAUUGCCUCACCUCGCGCACGCUCACGAAGGAUUAGCCAUUUUUCUUUUGUAAUGAAUCUGCUAUUGUCCAGUUGGAAUAUUAUUGAAAUUCUACUAUAAUAACACCCUAAAGAUUGAUUGAACAUGGUUUGACAUGUUUCUACAAACGCUGAGGGAACUUUAUAACUUUUCGUCGACGGUGGAUAGAUGCAUUUUGGAAUGGUGAUCUGGACGCGCCAUCAAAACUGAUUUAUUUCGACAUAAAUGAUGGACUUUAUCGAACAAAUGAACAUUUCUUGUGGAAGUGGGAGACCUUCUGAGUGCAUUCAGCCGAAGAUCAGCAAAGGUAAGAUAAUAUUUUUAACAUAUUUCAGCGUUUUGUGGAUGCCGUGGCUGGACGGCUAACUGAAUAGCAUGGUGCUCAGUACUCAGAAUAUUGAACAAUGUGCUUUCUACAUAAAGUUAUUUUGAAAUCUGACACAGCGGGUGCAUAAAAGAGUACUGUAUCUAUAAUUCUUAAAAUAAUUGUUAUGUAUUUUGUCAACGUUUAUGAUGAGUAUUUUUGUAAAUUCACAGGAAGUUUUUGGUGGGAAUACAUUUUCUGAACGUCACGCGCCAAUGUAAAAUGUUUUUUUUGGGGAUAUAAAUAUGAACUUGAUGGAACAAAAAAUGCAUGUAUUGUCUAACAUAAUGUCCUAGGAGUGUCAUCUGAUGAAGAUCGUCAAAGGUUAGUGCAUAAUUGUAGCUGGUUUUGUGCUUUGGGACCCUUGCUUGGAAAAUGGCUGUCCUUGCUAGGAAAAUGGCUGUGUUGUUGUUUUUUUGCUGUGGUGGUAUCCUAACAUAAUCUAAUGUUUUGCUUUCGCUGUAAAGCCUUUUUGAAAUCAGACAAUGUGGUUGGAUUCAGGAGAGGUUUAUCUUUCAAAUGGUGUAAAAUAGUCGUAUGUUUGAGAAAAUGGAAUUGUGGUAUUUUAGUUGUUUUUGUAUUUCCCGCCAUGCGAUCCCAUUGGCUGUUGGCUAGGGGUUCCGCUAGUGGAACCCCUAGAUGUAAGAGGUUGGACCACAGUCUGUAAGUAAGCAUUUCACUGUUUACACCCGUUGUUUACAAAGCAUGUGACACAUAAAAUGCUAUUUGACAGAAAGACAGAGAGGGAAAGGGUUGAUAGGGAGAGAUAAAUAUAUAGAGAAAGAUGGAGUGCCGGGGGAGAAAGAGAGAGGGUGAGGUGGCGUAUAGAGGGAAAGAGAUGAGAGGUAUAGGUUGGGUAUAGUGUUAAAGAGAGGAGGGGUAGAUGUGGGGUAUAGAGAGAAAGAGGAGCGGUAGAUGUGGGGUAUUGAGAGAAAGAGAGAGAUGUAAAGAGCAUUGAUUGGAAAGUAGUGCCCCUGAAGAGUAGGAUGUGGGAAUCAUUCACAGAGUGAGCAGGAGAGAGAGGGGAGGAGGAGGAGGAGAGAGAGGGGAGGAGGAGGAGAGAGAGGGGAGGAGGAGGAGGAGAGAGGGGAGGAGAGGAGGAGAGAGGGGAGGAGGAGGAGGAGAGAGAGGGGAGGAGGAGGAGGAGAGAGGGGAGGAGAAGGAGAGAAAGAGAGGGGAGGAGGAGGAGAGAAAGAGAGGGGAGGAGGAGGAGAGAAAGAGAGGGGAGGAGGAGGAGAGAGAGAGGAGGAGGAGGAGAGAAAGAGAGGGGAGGAGGAGGAGAGAAAGAGGGGAGGAGGAGGAGAGAAAGAGAGGGGAGGAGGAGGAGGAGAGGGGAGGAGGAGGAGAGAGAGGGGAGGAGAGAGGGGAGGAGGAGGAGAGAGAGAGGGCAGUAGGUAGUAUAUUGAUUGGAUGGACACAGAAUGAAAAAAAACGAUUUUGAGAAAUAGAUUUCUGAGAGGAGUCCUGCAGUGAGACUUGCCAUGGUCCCACACUUAAUGUCAGAAUAAGUAUGCAUGCCACGCACAAACAAACACGCACACACACAAACAACUCCGUUUGUGAGCGAAGGAUACUGGAAAAUAGUCACAGAUUUAGUUAGAUAUUUAGAAAAGAGUCAGAGAUGUAAGUACAGCCAUCAGACAGACUGAGUGAUUGGAUGAUGAAUGUACUCUGUUUUCAGAAAACAAUCAUGUACAGUCAGCAUAAAUUUGAAGGCUGUGUUUUGACGGAGUGACUGCAUAAUGUGUUUUGAUAGCCAGCUAGGGGGAGAAUACAGAAAUAUUGUUAUAGUAUACAAUGCAUUCUGAAAGUAUUCAAACCCCUUGACUUUUUCCACAUUUUGUUACGUUACAGCCUUAUUCUAAAAUGGAUUAAAUAUUUUUUUUCCCUCAUCAAUCUAUACCCAUAAUGACAAAGUAAAACAGGUUUUUAGAAAUGUUUGCAAAUGCAUUACAAAUAAAAAACUGAAAUAUGACAUUCACAUAAGUAUUCAGACCCUUUACAAAGGUACUUUGUUGAAGCAACUUUGGCAGCGAUUACAACCUCGGGUCUUCUUGGGUAUGACGCUACAAGCUUGUCUUGGCUGUGUGCUUAGGGUCAUUGUCUUGUUGGAAGGUGAACCUUCGCUCCAGUCUGAGGUCCUGAGUGCUCUGGAGCAGGUUUUCAUCAAGGAUCUCUCUGUACUUUGCUCCGUUCAUCUUUCCCUCGAUCCUGACUAGUCUCCCAGUCCCUGCUGCAGAAAAACAUCUCCACAGCAUGAUGCUGCCACCACCAUGCUUCACCGUAGGGAUGGUGCCAGGUUAUCUCCAGACGUGAUGCUUGGCAUUCAGGCCAAAGAGUUCAAUCUUGGUUUCAUCAGACCAGGGAAUGUUCUGAGAGUCCUUUAGGUGCCUUUUGGCAAACUCCAAGAGGGCUGUCAUGAGCCUUUUACUGAGGAGUGGCUUCAGUCUGGCCCCUCUACCAUAAAAGGCCAGAUUGGUGGAGUGCUGCAGAGAUGGUUGUCCUUCUGGAAGGUUCUCCCAUCUCCACAGAGGAACUCUGGAGUUCUGUCAGAGUGACCAUCGGGUUCUUGAUCAACUCCCUGACCAAGGCCCUUCUCCCCCGAUUGCUCAGUUUGGCCAGGCAGCCAGCUCUAGGAAGAGCCUUGGUGGUUCCAAACUUCUUCCCUUUAAGAAUGAUGGAGGAUCAUGUGUUCUUGGGGACCUUCAAUGCUGCAGACAUUUUUUGGUACCCUUCCCCAGAUCUGUGCCGACACAAUCCUGUCUCGGAGCUCUACGGACAAUUCCUUUUACCUCAUGGCUUGGUUUUGUUUUUGCUGUGACAUGCACUGUCAAAUGUGUGACCUUAUAUAGACAAGUGCGUGCCUUUCCAAAUCAUGUCCAAUCAAUUGAAUUUACCACAGGUGGACUCCAACCAAGUUGUAGAAACAUCUCAAGGAUGAUCAAUGGAAACAGGAAGCACCUGAGCUCAAUUUUGAGUCUCAUAGCAAAGAGUCUGAAUACUUAUGUAAAUAAGGUAUUUCUGUUUAAAAAAUGUAUACAUUUGCCAACAUUUCUAAAAACCUGUUUUCACGUUGCCACUAUUGGGUAUUGUGAGGGAAAAAAUAUGGUAAAUACAUUUCACAAUAAGGCUGUGACAAAAUGUGGAAAAGGGGAAGGGUCUGAAUACUUUCCGAGUGCCCUGUAUAUAUAUUUUUACAUUGACACGUAAGUCCACAACGCUUUAGGCUAGAAACAAGUGUUAAAAUGCCCAAGGAAGACGGAACUCGGAUACACAUGGGAACAUCUUUGGUUCAUCUCUAUGGCAUUUACAAACUGAGCUAUGACCAAGAUGCCAGUAAGCAGGUCUUUUUUCUCUGAUCAAUGUUUGUAGCUGUGUUUGUCUCUAUUUAGCGUUGUUUAAUCUGACUAUGAACACAUUGGACAAUAGCUCAAUAUUGCAUGCAGAGUUUUUAAGGAGACAUACAAAACAGGUCUGCUGAAACUUUUGAGGCCUACUUGGAUAUACUUGGACACCCUACUCUGCACUGGGACCUGCACUGGAACCUGCACUGGGACCUGAACUGG